UAUUAUUCGUUGAAAAUCAUUUAUCUGCUUGUAAACAUUCAAGUCAAUUGAGUCUUACAUAUGGUGGUAGUCGAUUAUUUGGAGUCGCCUUUCUGCUGCCGAAAACUACCGGUUGGGGAAUUUUCAUACACGUUUUUAGAACAGCGUUUUUGCAAAUAUAAUAGUGACUACCUUACAUACAAUACAUAAACUACAGUUAGACUUCACAGACGAGCAAGUGCAGCGGAAGAUGUGUGUUGAAGAGCUGGUUUUUAGAAACGAAGGCAAGUAUGCGCGUAUUUCUACCAUCGUCACAUGUG
Long non-coding RNA from Anastrepha ludens (Mexican fruit fly), 299 nucleotides. RefSeq lists it as uncharacterized. The transcript has 4 exons. NCBI's taxonomy places the organism in Eukaryota, Metazoa, Arthropoda, Insecta, Diptera, Tephritidae. The record is from RefSeq and is a predicted model, not a curated record.